This 424-nucleotide ribosomal RNA is filed under the name uncultured Alistipes sp. Its description in RNAcentral is "bacterial SSU rRNA". It matches the Rfam family "Bacterial small subunit ribosomal RNA", at positions 338 to 754 of the family's 1533-position model. Lineage: Bacteria; Pseudomonadati; Bacteroidota; Bacteroidia; Bacteroidales; Rikenellaceae. The record is from RNAcentral.
CCUACGGGCGGCAGCAGUGGGGAAUAUUGCACAAUGGGCGCAAGCCUGAUGCAGCCAUGCCGCGUGUGUGAAGAAGGCCUUCGGGUUGUAAAGCACUUUCAGCGGGGAGGAAGGCGGUGAGGUUAAUAACCUCACCGAUUGACGUUACCCGCAGAAGAAGCACCGGCUAACUCCGUGCCAGCAGCCGCGGUAAUACGGAGGGUGCAAGCGUUAAUCGGAAUUACUGGGCGUAAAGCGCACGCAGGCGGUUUGUUAAGUCAGAUGUGAAAUCCCCGGGCUCAACCUGGGAACUGCAUCUGAUACUGGCAAGCUUGAGUCUCGUAGAGGGGGGUAGAAUUCCAGGUGUAGCGGUGAAAUGCGUAGAGAUCUGGAGGAAUACCGGUGGCGAAGGCGGCCCCCUGGACGAAGACUGACGCUCAGGUGC